AUCCGAUUUAGGGUCUAUGGAAUCUGAUUUAAGGUCCAUGGAAUCAGAUUUAUGGUCUAUGGAAUCUGACUUAGGGUCUAUGGAAUCUGACUUGGGGUCCAUGGAAUCUGAUUUAGGGUCUAUGGAAUCUGAUUUAGGGUCCGCGGAAUCUGAUUUAGGGUCUAUGGAAUCUGACUUGGGGGCCAUGGAAUCUGAUUUAGGGUCUAUGGAAUUUGAUUCAGGGUCUAUGGAAUCUGAUUUAGGGUCUAUGGAAUCUGAUUCAGGGUCUAUGGAAUCUGAUUUAGGGUCUAUGGAAUCUGAUAUAGGGUUCACGGAAUCUGAUUUAGGGUCUAUGGAAUCUGAUUUAGGGUCUAUGGAAUCUGAUUUAGGGUCUAUGGAAUCUGACUUGAGGUCCAUGGAAUCUGAUUGAACGUCUAUGGAAUCUGAUUUAGGGUCCAUGGAAUCUGAUUUAGAGUCUAUGGAAUCUGAUUUAGGGUCUAUGGAAUCUGAUUUAGGGUCUAUGGAAUCUCACUUGGGGUCCAUGGAAUCUGAUUUAACAUCUAUGGAAUCUGAUUUAGGGUCUAUGGAAUCUGAUUUAGGGUAUAUGGAAUCUGACUUAGGGUCUAUGGAAUCUGAUUUUUUCGAUGGAAUCUGAUUUAGGGUCUAUGGAAUCUGACUUAGGGUCUAUGGAAUCUGACUUAGGGUCUAUGGAAUCUGAUUUAGUGUCUAUGGAAUCCGAUUUAGGGUCCAUGGAAUCUGAUUUAGGGUCUAUGGAAUCUGAUUUAGGGUCUAUGGAAUCUGAUUUAGGGUCUAUGGAAUCUGACUUGGGUUCCAUGGAAUCUGAUUUAGCAUCUAUGGAAUCUGAUUUAGGGUCUAUGGAAUCUGAUUUAGGGUCUAUGGAAUCUGACUUAGGGUCUAUGGAAUCUGAUUUAGGGUCUAUGGAAUCUGACUUAGGGUCUAUGGAAUCUGACUUAGGGUCUAUGGAAUCUGAUUUAUGGUCUAUGGAAUCUGAUUUAGGGUCUAUGGAAUCUGACUUAGGGUCUAUGGAAUCUGACUUAGGGUCUAUGGAAUCUGAUUUAGUGUCUAUGGAAUCCGAUUUAGGGUCCAUGGAAUCUGAUUUAGGGUCUAUGGAGUCUGAUUUAGGGUCUAUGGAAUCUGAUUUAGGGUCUAUGGAAUCUGAUUUAGGGUCUAUGGAAUCUGAUUUAGGGUCUAUGGAAUCUGAUUUAGCGUCUAUGGAAUCUGAUUUAGGGUCUAUGGAAUCUGAUUUAGGGUCCAUGGAAUCUGAUUUGGAGUCUAUGGAAUCUGAUUUAGGGUCUAUGGAAUCCGAUUUAGGGUCUAUGGAAUCUGAAUUAGGGUCUA
Molecule: long non-coding RNA, 1338 nt
Filed under: Salmo salar (Atlantic salmon)
Lineage: Eukaryota; Metazoa; Chordata; Actinopteri; Salmoniformes; Salmonidae
Description: lncRNA (ENSSSAG00000085745.1)
Source: RNAcentral